UUUUAAUUCGAACGAUACGAAAGUGGCUCUCCGCGCGCCAACGUGGUCUCCUCUCUCUCACCAGUCUCGUCUUCUCUCUCUGCGUCCUUUCGACGAAGACUCGAAGCCGUGCCCAAAGAAGCCGCAAUGGAGCGCGCCACGUUUCUCCCCUCCCAUCCAUUCCCUUCACCAAACCCUAACCCUAACUCUCUCCCCUUCUCCCCCCUCGCCUUCGCCCUCCAUCCCUCGAUCGCCCCUCCAAAUGUCUCUCCCCGACGCCGCCGCCGCCGCCGCCGCCGCUGCCGCUUCCCGGAGGACUCCCCACCCUACGCCGCCGGAGAAGGACGAUCCAGAGGAGAGUGACGACGACUUGUUCACGGUGCCCGACGUGGAGUCGGGCCCGAGCAGCUCGGGAGCAUUGACGGUGGCGGCGGAGAUCCAGCAGAGCACCAGCAGCGGUGGCGGCGGGGCUGGGCCCUCCAAGAGCCGCCGGGGCCGGAAUCCAGCAGACCGGGAGUACCGAAGGCUGAAGAGGUUGCUUAGGAACAGGGUUUCUGCUCAGCAAGCUAGAGAAAGAAAGAAGGUUUAUGUGAAUGACCUUGAAUCCAGAGCCAAAGAGCUGCAUGACAAAAAUUUGAAGUUAGAAGAAAAAAUUUCAACUUUGAUCAACGAGAACACUAUGCUUAGGAAGGUUCUUAUGAACACCAGGCCUAAAGUUGAUGAAGGCCUUUAUCUCCUCUUUCUCCUGGAGGGCUUCAUAUCUCAAUUGCAAGGGUAUCUCUUGUUGCUUCAUUUGUAUGAAGGCUUUUCAACUAUAGACUGAAGAACCUUGGCUAGAAUUUUGUCUAGGCGCCUUUUGGUUAGAUUACACACCCUGCUUUGCCAUAACUUGUUGGCGUGAUCUGACUGGUUUGUUGACAUGACAUUUCUAGGAAGUCUUUUGGACAAUAAGAAUGUAAUAGAAAUUAUGAAAUCAUAGAGCUUUAUAUCUAUCAGUGAACUAGGGGGCCAAGGUUAGUCGAUGAUGCAAGGUAUGAGGAAAGCUACCACUUUCCAAUAAGCAAAAGAAGAAAUCUGAUUGCUUAAAGAUGGAAUUGGUAAAGAUGGAAUAGGGGAGUAGGGGGACAAAGCAGCACUUUCAACCAGACAGGUUUUAGUCAUGAUCCCCAUGAAGUUUUGGAAAAGUAUUAUUACAAACUUACAAUGUGAAGCAUUUCUACCAUUGACAUGGCAUCCAAAUGUUGCGGAUGCUGUCAGAAAGGUUACACUGGAUGAACUUCCGUGCAGAUGAUAAACACUUCCAGCUGAAAAAUGUUUGACUCGGCAUAGUUGAAGGCGAUUCAAACUGCAUGGCGAUUUCACUGAACCUAAAUUUAAGAAUUUCAAGUGUGUGGAGAUCAUAAUGUUUUGAUUGGCCAAUUCACUUGGUAAAUAAUUCUUGAAUGAUAGAACUGAGGGUGCUCUUAUACCAAUGGCUAAUAAAUUUUGAUGUCUGUUUCAAAUUAUUGUAACCGGUAGCUGAUACCAUUUUAAUGGGACAGAAUCAUUAAGGUU
This is a non-coding RNA of Elaeis guineensis (African oil palm), 1533 nucleotides long. Lineage: Eukaryota; Viridiplantae; Streptophyta; Magnoliopsida; Arecales; Arecaceae. The record is from RefSeq and is a predicted model, not a curated record.